GCAACAACUUCUAAUCAAUAAAGUUGUAGGAUAUGAUAUAAUUUUCAUGAAGAAUGUACUGAAUUCUCCAGGCUACUUGUAUAAUUACCAGGCACAAGCCUUCUACAAUCUUACAUAUGUACAACAACAAGAAAGGUCACAAAGGUUUGGAGACUUUUGAAUGAAAAGAGAACCCUCUUCAAGAGUACCUUCAAUGGGCUGAAAUUCUUGAAAAGGCGAUUGUCAAACAUGAUAGAGGUGCACAUUCUUCUGUCUAUUGUUGUAUAUGACUAAACCUAUGUUUAAAAUUUCUAAUUUAACUUAUAACUUUAAUUAUUUUUUAACUUUUCCUUACAACUUUCCAACAUAAAUCUCAUAUAUUUUAGCUUAAUAUGUAUGCUGAAGCUCAAAAAUUCACCAUCAAAGAUGGUGCAAAAGAAUGCAUCAAAAAACAUUAUGUUUUCCAUGAAUCAGAAUCAAUAUGAACACUUGAAAUAAAGACCAAAAUUUAAAAGUAUCCAUCACCUAAAUUGAUCACAUUUGUUAGUGACAAGGACCUCCUGUCAUCUUAGCCCAGGCAAGUAUUCUUUUUUUUUUUUUUUAAUUUGUUAAAUAUUUUUUAGUAUUUCUUAGAAUACAUCAUGAUAAAAUUGGUUUUAGCAGAGCACAAAGUUUCAAAUGACUUCAUUUAUUUUGCUUAAAAAAGACAUAUUUUGUCUUUUUAGUCAAACAUAUUUACCGUUAUUAUCUUUUACUACAGUCUCAUAGCUAUCAGUCUAAUGUGCCUAUUCGUACGUAUCUGGUAGCCAUGUAUGUAGGGGUAGAAUCGGUAAUUUGACAGCAAGAGGAGGAUUUUUUUUAAAUAAAUAAAGCAAGACCUUCCCUGAGUCGCCUAUAGUAAGGAGUUUCUUUUCCAACAGGCGAGAGAAAUCAUUGCAGUGUUGGAUAUUGAUGUACUAUUUUACUCUUUCCCAAGAAAUGACCAGACUCUUCGGCCCCAAGUUAGCCAGAUGCAAGUUCACCAUCAAAAGAUGCUUUACUUGAAGAGACUUGCAAAAAGUAUGAUUAAGCAACCUCUUUAAACCCUAGACUUCAUGGUGUAUGCAUUUCCAGUCCCUAUAUUUUAAUCAAGCUGUAUGAUAUUUUUACUAAAAUGAUUGAUUUGUAUGAUUAUAUAUCUAUUGCCAUAUCUGAUCCAGAAUUGUGGAAGCAGGUUUUAGACCUUUACAUUAUAUUAAUGAUUUUUCUUCCAUUU
Molecule: non-coding RNA, 1234 nt
Organism: Lactuca sativa (garden lettuce)
Lineage: Eukaryota; Viridiplantae; Streptophyta; Magnoliopsida; Asterales; Asteraceae
Source: RefSeq, a predicted model, not a curated record